AUAACACAUUCACAAUCUAUAAGUAUAAUGAUGAUGUCUGAUCUUCCGGUGGCUUUGGUAGAAGAGAUACUCUCUAGGGUUCCAUUAACAUCUCUAAGCGCGGUGCGAUCUACUUGUAAAACGUGGAACGCUGUAGGAUUAACAUCUCUGUAGACUUAUAUUGGUAUAUGGUUUAUGCGUAAGAUUUCUCUUUUAAAC
Molecule: small RNA, 198 nt
Filed under: Arabidopsis thaliana (thale cress)
Lineage: Eukaryota; Viridiplantae; Streptophyta; Magnoliopsida; Brassicales; Brassicaceae
Description: ATSL288800
Source: RNAcentral